UCUGCCCACCGCAACUUUCGGUUGAAUGACAUUUAGGUCACUAAGAUUAAGAACAUUUUCAGUAUUUUGUUCAGUAUUUUGCCAUUAAUUGAUUACUAAAUUUGGACAACACAUGGUAGGCAUCAGGUAAAAAAAAGUUGGAACCAAGGAAAGUGUAUUUCAGACUACAGAAGUGAGGGGUCCUCCUACAACACCGAAGAUAGAAGAAGAGGAGGAUUAGAAGAAGGUGGAAGAACUUAAUCAUGAUCUCACAGAAGUCACAGUAACUGCAGUUGGAUUAGUGACUCUGCCUGGAACAUGGAUGCGUUUGAGGGUCUCCACAGUGUCCAGCUGCCCUCCUCUCCAACCCCUGCCUCUGCCGCCAACCCGGGGUAUGAGAUCCUAGUGUCAGCCAGAUCUGGUGUCCAGGUAUAUUCCAACGCCACGUUCUAUGGUAAACCCAGUGUUCUGGAGCAGGCUCAGAGGAGAGGGAGAGCCAAACAUCACUCCCACCGAGAGGAGACGAAAGAGGAGAGGUGUGAGGUUGGAUGGUUGGUAGACCUGGAGCCAGGUCCGAGCCCCAGGGUGGAGGGGUGGAGGGCAGGG
Molecule: long non-coding RNA, 585 nt
Organism: Coregonus clupeaformis (lake whitefish)
Lineage: Eukaryota; Metazoa; Chordata; Actinopteri; Salmoniformes; Salmonidae
Exons: 3
Source: RefSeq, a predicted model, not a curated record